UGUGGUAUAGCUCAAUGGUAGAGCAUUUGCCUAGCAUACAGAAGGUCCUGACUUCAAACUCCAGUGCCACAA
RNAcentral lists this transfer RNA (72 nucleotides) under Fukomys damarensis (Damara mole-rat). It matches the Rfam family "tRNA". From Rfam's summary of the family: Transfer RNA (tRNA) molecules are approximately 80 nucleotides in length. Their secondary structure includes four short double-helical elements and three loops (D, anti-codon, and T loops). Further hydrogen bonds mediate the characteristic L-shaped molecular structure. tRNAs have two regions of fundamental functional importance: the anti-codon, which is responsible for specific mRNA codon recognition, and the 3' end, to which the tRNAs corresponding amino acid is attached (by aminoacyl-tRNA synthetases). tRNAs cope with the degeneracy of the genetic code in two manners: having more than one tRNA (with a specific anti-codon) for a particular amino acid; and 'wobble' base-pairing, i.e. permitting non-standard base-pairing at the 3rd anti-codon position. The record is from Rfam by way of RNAcentral. Lineage: Eukaryota; Metazoa; Chordata; Mammalia; Rodentia; Bathyergidae.